CUUACUGUGUGUACAGGAGGAGGAAGGAAUGUAUGGCUGUGCAAAAUCCCCAUGGAGGAAGAGGCUUCUGCUGAGAAGAGCCCCUGCAGCAGACAGCAGAGACAAGGUAAGAGGCAAGCUCCCAGCUACUGCUACAGAACCAAGCCUGCCUGGCUGCUGCCAUGCUCCCCUCGAGGAUGGUUAUGGACUCACCUUCUGAAACUACUGAGAUGAUUGACAAGUUCUGCUCCCAGGAUGGACGUCAGGGUCUUGUCCAUUGGCUCUCCAGCUGGACUGAACCCCUAUGCUAUACACUUAUGUCACCCUGUCUGCAUCAGCUCUGUUGGACGGGUCACCAGGGAGACUGAGUCACUUAACUAAGAAAGCAUCUCAGAGCUGGGCAGAUGGCUCCGUGUGUAAAGUGCCUACAGAACAAGUGUGAAGACCUGAGUUCAAAUCUCCAGAACCUAUGGGGAAACAGGCAUGGUCAUCUGUAAUCUCAGAGUUUGCAUGGCAAGAUGAAAUGGAGACAUUGGUAAACAACAAAAAGACACUGUUCCAAACAAGGUGGAAGAUGAGAUCAAACACCUUAGGCUGUCCUUACACACGUGCACACACACACACACACACACACACAGAGGCAAGAACCACAGGGCCUCACCUUGAGUCCAGGACAAAGUGACUGCCUCUUCUCCUCCAUCUCUAAAGUUUUUUUAAUUGCUUAGAAUGCCCAUGUUCCAUGAUAGCCUGUGUCAUCCCCUUUCACACUUGUCAAAAUGGAGGCACGGAUGUGUGGUACUAAUCCCCAGUCCCCCGUGGCUUCCAGCAUCCCUGCUCUAAGCUGCUGAGUUACAGGAAGCCCAUGUCUGGCUAUCACUCCCACAUCCCCACUCCUAGCUCUUGUCUGCUGGUGUGGAAUCACCUCUCAGGACCCUGAGUGGGAGCCUGUUCCCAAGGGAUGGGGGUGGAGUCCCUUACCUGGCACAUAGUAGGUGCUUCGCUGAGGGCAUCCACAAGCAACAAUGACAACCUAGGCCUAGGCUGAGACCCGGAUGACCCUGUCUCUGCAUCUUAACCCCCACUCUACCACACAUUAAUCCCACUCUAAAGAGCUGGAUUCCCGGGCAGAUCCACUUCAUUGGAGAGAGCCCUGCCCGUGAAGACAGAGCAGGCCGGGCAGGAAAGCUCCUCGGGCUUGCCCAUCACUCCAGAGAUCGAUGCUCUGUGAUUGCUGCUCCAACGUCUGUCAGCAGCUGCCUAAUUUUAGCCCGAUCUUUGCAGGCUACUUGCCCUGCUCAUCCGCCCCCGUGGAUGGCGAGAGGCUUCGAGAGGCACCAUUGAUCUUUUGACUAAAGUGUCCUAAUGAAAUACAAAUCUGUUGUCACUUAAAGAGCCAUCUGUCAUGGUGGCACAGAAGAAAUGCUACCAGGAGAACAAUAACCAUAAUUUCAUUUUAAGACCCAGUCCUCCUCCCCCUUUUCCUGCCAGAGAAAAAUCGAUGUCUUUUACUGUUUCAUUUUGCCACAGAGCAGUGGGGGAAAGCCAUCAAUAGGAUGUUAAAGAUAUUUCCAGUUCUGCACCAUCGCGCUGUUCAGGGGCCCAUGACUUCUUGCAUUGAAUUAAUGCUUAUUUGCAUGGGAGCUUCACUCAGCUUUGGUGAUCAGUGUUGUAUAAGUGGCUCAGGUUAUAGCAGGGCUCCCAGGAGACCCUUGGCCUUGCACAGCCUCAGAUCUGCCUGGAUGGAAUAUACAGCCUGACAUUGUGGUUUGAAUAUGGAUUGUUCCCUAGAGUCUCCUGUAUUGAGAGCUGAUGACCUUUGAGGAAGAGAUUAGAUCCCGAAGGCUCAGAUUUAAUCAAUUGAUUAAUCCCUUGAUGGAUUCACGAUAUGAUAGCUUUACUGGAAAUGGUCAAGAGUGGGAGACAGGGACUAGUUAAGGUGGAAGGCCGCUAAGGUGUACCCUUGGGGUUGUAGCUUGCCUUGGUCUCAUCCUUCCUGCUUCCUGCCCAUAACAAAGCGAGCAGUGCUCCCCUGCGUUCCCACUGCUCAGAUGUUUUACCACCUAUGUGUGUGGGGCCAAGUUGGCAUGGACUGAGACAGAGAAAAACAAGUCACUCUUCCAGCGCUGUGACACUUAUUUCUGGUCCCCUGUUGUCAUUGGACUUGCUAAAAUUCAUACACAGCCUCCCUGGUCGUUGCUCCAAAUUCCUGAGCUAUAGACCGUCCAUGUUCCUCCCCUGUUGCCCAAUCCUUCCCUUGUCUGCUGAUGUGGCAUUGCUUCUCAGGAAUCUUUUGGGAGCCUAGCAUCAGGGGAUGUGGCUGUUCUUUCAUAUCUGACACAUAGUAGUUGCUUCACUGAGGACAACCAAGGGCAACAGUGAGAACCCUGAAGAGAUGGCUCAGUAGUUAAGAGAACUUUCAGCGCUUGUAGAGGACCUGAAUUUGGUUCCCCGUUCCCACAUAGCGGCUCACAACCACC
Molecule: long non-coding RNA, 2456 nt
Organism: Mesocricetus auratus (golden hamster)
Lineage: Eukaryota; Metazoa; Chordata; Mammalia; Rodentia; Cricetidae
Exons: 3
Source: RefSeq, a predicted model, not a curated record